AUACCCAAGGAAUGAGUAAUUCUCAAAAAGGUGGCUUUGAAUUUGAGCUUCAUAUAGAAUCUUGAACAAAGAACAGUGCAUUUUUAGGGAUGUGACAAGAGACAAAGGAAAAGGACUUUAACUCUCGAUGGGUGGCAAUUUAUAAGAAGGCAAAUGACCAUCAGAUAAAUGCUGGAAUUGGAACUCCAUGAGGGAAGAAUUGUUUCUUAUUCAUUUUUGCACCCAUCUUCAAGCCCAGUGCUUGUAAUGUAUGUGACAUGCGCAUUUCAAGGGGCACAUGAGAAAGCCACCUGACUAGGCAGUGUGAUAGGAUUGCUGAUUUCUGCUGAUGGCCAUGCCUACCUUACUCUGGGAUUCUGGGAUUUUACAUUUGCAUGAAACAUCUCUCCUUGUGCUAACUCCUGAUUUGACUUGCAUGACAUCACCGAAGUGUUUCUAGUCAUCUAGAUCUCUUGGAAACUGGGGCCAUGAAUCAUCAAAAGACCUAUUGGACGCAUUUUGAGGAACUGGGUGCCUGUAUGGCCUGUCCUUGGCAGGGGCUCUGGGCUGGGAUGGAAGUCUCCCAUAUCCAUGUGUCUGGGCAAAAUGCAAAUGGCAGUAACCACAACCAGCUCCUUAUUUCUCACUGAUGCUGCUCACAGACCCAGCAGCCUUCACCCUGGAAGUAAUCCAGUGGUUUUGACAUGAACUCUGAGGUGGCACUUGGUUUUUCAAGAAAACUUCUCUGCUGCCAAGCCAAAUCUAUUCCGGAUGCUGGGACCCAUGAAGUGACCACCACCACAUGGAGCAGUUGAGACCCAC
This is a long non-coding RNA of Cebus imitator (Panamanian white-faced capuchin), 801 nucleotides long. RefSeq lists it as uncharacterized. The transcript has 3 exons. The record is from RefSeq and is a predicted model, not a curated record. NCBI's taxonomy places the organism in Eukaryota, Metazoa, Chordata, Mammalia, Primates, Cebidae.